RNAcentral lists this small RNA (629 nucleotides) under Pan troglodytes (chimpanzee). RNAcentral's name for it is "retained intron". The record is from RNAcentral. Lineage: Eukaryota; Metazoa; Chordata; Mammalia; Primates; Hominidae.
UGAUGCCUAUUGGCCGGAAGGAAAGCGUGUGGCGAUGGAGGACCGAUAUCGUGCAGACUUUCCCCGGCCAGACCACCGCUUUCACGACUUCGAUCAUCGAGACCGGGGCCAGUACCAGGACCACGCCAUCGACAGGCGGGAGGGUUCGAGGCCAAUGAUGGGAGACCACCGGGAUGGGCAGGUGAGUAGAGCCCCGAUGCCAAGCCCUGGGGCCACUGUACUGCUGUGCGGGCAUAGCGGACCAUUUCUAGCCAGGCGGCCGCUUGAUCCCAGAGAGGUGGCAACCAAGUCAGCACGUGUGGCGGGUAUGCAAGUGUGGGUUCUGGCCAGCGACUAGAAGUACAAAUAGUCGGACGUGGUGGCUCAUGCCUGUAAUCCCAGCACUUUGGGAAGCUGAGGUGGGUGGAUCACAAGGUCAGGAGUUCAAGACCAGCCUGGCCGACAUGGUGAAACCCUGUCUCUACUAAAAAUACAAAAAAUUAGCCAGGCAUGGUGGCGAGUGCCUGUAGUCCCAGCUACUCGGGAGGCUGAGGCAGGAGAAUCGCUUGAACCCGGGAGGCGGAGGUUGCAGUGAGUCGAGGUCGCACCAUUGCACUCCAGCCUGGGCAACAAGAGCAAGACUCCGUCUC